GCUUACUUUGGCAGCACCAUAUGCUAAAAUUGAAAUGAUACAGAGAAGAUUAACCUGGCCCCUGCACAAGGAUGACAUGCAAAUUUGUCAAGUGUUCCAUAUUUAA
RNAcentral lists this small nuclear RNA (106 nucleotides) under Sciurus vulgaris (Eurasian red squirrel). Lineage: Eukaryota; Metazoa; Chordata; Mammalia; Rodentia; Sciuridae. The record is from RNAcentral.